RNAcentral lists this ribosomal RNA (301 nucleotides) under uncultured bacterium. RNAcentral's name for it is "partial 16S ribosomal RNA". It matches the Rfam family "Bacterial small subunit ribosomal RNA", at positions 509 to 807 of the family's 1533-position model. The record is from RNAcentral.
CAGUCGCCGCGGGAACACGAAGGGUGCAAGCGUUAAUCGGAAUUACUGGGCGUAAAGGGCGUGUAGGCGGCCUGGGGCGUCCCAUGUGAAAGGCCACGGCUCAACCGUGGAGGAGCGUGGGAUACGCUCAGGCUAGAGGGUGGGAGAGGGUGGUGGAAUUCCCGGAGUAGCGGUGAAAUGCGCAGAUACCGGGAGGAACGCCGAUGGCGAAGGCAGCCACCUGGUCCACUUCUGACGCUGAGGCGCGAAAGCGUGGGGAGCAAACCGGAUUAGAUACCCCCGUAGUCCCUGUCUCUUAUAC